RNAcentral lists this ribosomal RNA (473 nucleotides) under uncultured bacterium. Its description in RNAcentral is "bacterial SSU rRNA". It matches the Rfam family "Bacterial small subunit ribosomal RNA", at positions 28 to 505 of the family's 1533-position model. The record is from RNAcentral.
GGUGAACGCUAGCGGUGCGCCUAACACAUGCAAGUCGAACGCGCUCUACCAUGAUUCUUUGCGUGCUUGCACAAUAAGUUAAUUGGAUUCUAGAGUGAGUGGCGAACGGGUGAGUAACACGUUGGUACCUGCCCCCAAGUCAGGGAUAGCCAGAGGAAACUCUGAUUAAUACCGGAUGUGCUCUUCGGAGUAAAGAUUUAUCGCUUGGGGAGGGGCCUGCGAACUAUCAGCUUGUUGGUGAGGUAAUAGCUCACCAAGGCUAUGACGGUUACCUGGUCUGAGAGGAUGAUCAGGCACAAUGAAACUGAGACACGGUUCAUACUCCUACGGGAGGCAGCAGUGAGGAAUCUUCCACAAUGGACGAAAGUCUGAUGGAGCGACACCGCGUGAAGGAUGAAGGUCUAACGAUUGUAAACUUCUUUUCUGAGGGAGCAAAAUGAGAGUACCUCAGGAAUAAGGGACGGCUAAUUACG